AGUCGGAUCUAUUGAAUAAAUUAAUCUAUUUAUUAUCUAAAUUUAUUAAUAAUAAUUUUAAAUUUAUUUAAAAUAGAUCAUUCAUGAAUUGGAUUGAUGGCUACUGAUCAUAACUUGUCAAUUCUAUCCCAAAACCGUUGAAAAGUUGUCACGGAGCAAAGCAAGAGCCACCCAUUCAAAGGGAGCGAUCUGCCAAAAAGAAGAAGUGAUUUGAUGAGAUAAGCGAGAGUGCGAGUGGUUGCUGAUUGUGGCUGAAACAUGUCACAUCUAUACAAUCGUGACGCAACGUUACAAGGUUGCCUCCAUCAAAUAACUCAAUAUUGAUAGUCUCAUGAGAAUGAAACGCCGC
RNAcentral lists this long non-coding RNA (349 nucleotides) under Elaeis guineensis (African oil palm). RNAcentral's name for it is "long non-coding RNA (EGUI_LNC040274)". Lineage: Eukaryota; Viridiplantae; Streptophyta; Magnoliopsida; Arecales; Arecaceae. The record is from RNAcentral.